GGAAAGGUGCUCGAGUGGCUGAAGAGGCACGCCUGGAAAGCGUGUAUACGUCAAAAGCGUAUCGGGGGUUCGAAUCCCCCUCUUUCCG
Molecule: transfer RNA, 88 nt
Filed under: Prevotella sp.
Lineage: Bacteria; Pseudomonadati; Bacteroidota; Bacteroidia; Bacteroidales; Prevotellaceae
Also listed under: 5 other names
Description: tRNA-Ser
Rfam family: tRNA
About the family: Transfer RNA (tRNA) molecules are approximately 80 nucleotides in length.
Source: RNAcentral